This 882-nucleotide long non-coding RNA is filed under the name Homo sapiens (human). Its description in RNAcentral is "non-protein coding lnc-UPK1B-1:1". The record is from RNAcentral. Lineage: Eukaryota; Metazoa; Chordata; Mammalia; Primates; Hominidae.
GAAAUUUAAGUGACUUGGCUAAAGUUACCCAGGAGUAAGUACCAGAUCUAAAACAGAGCCCAAAUAAACUAAAAUAAAACUCAGCCCUUGCCUAAGUCAGAUAUCUUGAGUUCUGUGGCAUUCUUCAGAGGCAGCCAUUCCAGGGCACAAGCAUUUUAGGAAAAAAUAGAAGUUCCCUGGGAGAAGUUUAAUACUAGAAGCAAGGAAUGCUUACCCCGAAAUGGUACAUACUAGAAACAGGAAGGCAUUGGAGGAUAAGUGGCCUUGAUGGCAAAAAGAGUUCCAUGCCCCCACCGGGUACCUGUGAGUGAGGCGUAGGGGAAAGACAAGGAGGAUUGGAGGGGACUCAGGCUCAGCCCCAGCCCCAGCCCCAGCAAACCAGGGAGGCAAAGGGGAACCAGGCGGCUUGGCUCUAGGGAUCUGGCAGCUUGCUGAGUGUGAGACAGGCCCAGACACAACUAUCUUGUGAAACUUCCCUCUUCAACACCUGCUUAUCAGGUGGGCAAAGAAUAGCUGGCCAUUUCCAUCCCUAGAUUGCUCCACAGGCUCCUGGCAGGCAAACAGUCUGUCAUUUAAUUUUUAAAUUGCAACUAGUCACAAUCCCAAUUUUUUUCAAAAUAGAGCUCUUGAAUUUAUUCCUCCAACUGAAAUUUUGUACCCUUUGAUCAACUCUAACCCAAUUAAUUUAUCUGCAAUGUGCUCAAAGAACAAUAAAAAACACGAAGGAACACUCAAAGCUUUUUCACAUUUUACUACAGAGGUAUUUGAUAGACAUAUUUAUUAUUAGUUAAUAUGUAAACUUGUAAACUGCUAAUUCAUAUCCUACUUGUACAAAAUCAUUUUACAAAAACUCUUUAAAAACUAAUAGAGAAUGUAUUCUCU